This 91-nucleotide microRNA precursor is filed under the name Canis lupus familiaris (dog). RNAcentral describes it as "mir-8799 microRNA precursor family". It matches the Rfam family "mir-8799 microRNA precursor family". Lineage: Eukaryota; Metazoa; Chordata; Mammalia; Carnivora; Canidae. RNAcentral also lists the same sequence under 1 other name. The record is from Rfam by way of RNAcentral.
GGUGAGAGGCGGGAUCCUGGGCUGUGUCCCCAGGGCCCUGUGCUCCCGGGCCUGCGCUGCUGGAAUGGUGCUCCUGGCUGCACAGCCCCCC